Molecule: ribosomal RNA, 468 nt
Filed under: uncultured bacterium
Lineage: Bacteria
Description: partial 16S ribosomal RNA
Rfam family: Bacterial small subunit ribosomal RNA
Source: RNAcentral
GACGAACGCUGGCGGCGUGCUUAACACAUGCAAGUCGAACGGAAAGGCCCUGCUUUUGUGGGGUGCUCGAGUGGCGAACGGGUGAGUAACACGUGAGUAACCUGCCCUUGACUUUGGGAUAACUUCAGGAAACUGGGGCUAAUACCGGAUAGGAGCUCCUGCUGCAUGGUGGGGGUUGGAAAGUUUCGGCGGUUGGGGAUGGACUCGCGGCUUAUCAGCUUGUUGGUGGGGUAGUGGCUUACCAAGGCUUUGACGGGUAGCCGGCCUGGGAGGGUGACCGGCCACAUUGGGACUGAGAUACGGCCCAGACUCCUACGGGAGGCAGCAGUGGGGAAUAUUGCACAAUGGGCGGAAGCCUGAGGCAGCAACGCCGCGUGCGGGAUGACGGCCUUCGGGUGGUAAACCGCUUUCGCCUGUGACGAAGCGUGAGUGACGGUAAUGGGUAAAGAAGCACCGGCUAACUACGUG